CAAAACCACGUCCCCAACUUUGUUCCAUCACCCCGUCAUUGAUGGUGGCCCCCAAAACCACGUCCCCCAAUGGCCACAUCCACAACUUGUGUUCCAUCACUCCAUCAUUGAUGGUGGCCCCCAAAACCACAUCCCCAACUUUGUUCUAUCACUCCAUCAUUGAUGGUGGCCCCCAAAACCACGUUCGCCAAUGGCCACAUCCCCACACCCCCAUCCCAUUGCCUGCUCUCACCGGUGGCCCCCAUAAACACGUCCCCACCGCGUGGUAUCACUGGAACCUCCAGGUGUCCCUCACGUGUCCCUCACGUGUCCCUCACGGUCCCGCAGGUGAAGGUGCUCAAGUGCAUCAGCCCGGUGGAGCUGCAGGACGUGGUGCUGGGCCAGUACGUGGGCGACCCCGAGGGCCCCCCCGAGGCACAGAAGGGCUACCUGGACGACCCCACGGUGCCCGCCGGCUCCACCACGCCCACCUUCGCCACCGCCGUGCUGCGCGUGGCCAACGAGCGCUGGGACGGUGAGAGGGCGCGGCGGAGACGGGGCCAUGGGGGUGACUUGUGUGGUGUGAUGGGGAUGGUGGCCAGGAGAUGGUGCUGAUGAUGAUGGUGGUGGGCAAGAGAUGGUGCUGAUGAUUGUGGUUGUGGAGAUGGUGAUGAUGAAGCUGGUGAUGAUGAUGAUGGUGGCCAGAAGAUGGUGCUGAUGAUGGUGCUGCUCAUGCUGGUGGCCAGGAGAUGGUGCAGUUGAUGGUGAUAAUGGUGGGCCAGGAGAUGGUGUUGAUGAUGAUGGUGAUGAUGAUGACGGCCAGGAGAUGGUGCUGGUGAUGGUGAUGGCCAAGAGAUGGCGCUGGUGAUGAUGGUGAUGAUGAUGGUGGCCAGGAGAUGGUGCUGUUGAUGGUGAUGAUGAUGAUGGCCAGGAGAUGGUGCUGUUGAUGAUGAUUGCCAGGAGAUGGUGUUGAUGAUGGUGAUAAUGAUGAUGGUGGCCAGGAGAUGGUGCUGGUGAUGGUGAUGGCCAAGAGAUGGUGCUGGUGAUGGUGGUGAUGAUGGUGUUGGUCAUGGAGAUGGUGAUGAUGAUGGUGGUGAUGCUGAUGAUGGCCAGGAGAGGGUGAUGAUGAUGGUGAUGAUGAUGAUGGUGGCCAGGAGAGGGUGAUGAUGAUGGAGUCCAUGGAGAUGGUGCUGCUGCUGCUGCUCGUGCUGGUGGUCAUGGAGAUGGUGCUGUUGAUGGUGGUGGCCAGGAGACAGUGCUGAUGAUGGUGAUGAUGAUGAUGGUGGCCACAGAGACAGUGCUGAUGAUGGCAAUGAUGACAAUAUCGUUGUGUAUUGAUGACGACGAUGAUGAUGACAACGAUGAUGUCGAUGGGUGAUGAUGAUGACGAUGGCGCUGUCCCCAGGUGUCCCCUCUGUCCUGUGCUGAGGGAAUGCUCUGAAGGAGCACAAGGCCAAGGUGUGGCUGCAGUGGUGGGGGAUGAUGAUGAUGGUGAUGAUGAUGAUGAUGAUGGUGAUGAUGAUGAUGGUGAUAGAGGCC
RNAcentral lists this long non-coding RNA (1518 nucleotides) under Junco hyemalis (dark-eyed junco). RNAcentral's name for it is "lncRNA (ENSJHYG00000001487.1)". Lineage: Eukaryota; Metazoa; Chordata; Aves; Passeriformes; Passerellidae. The record is from RNAcentral.